This is a small nucleolar RNA of Kryptolebias marmoratus (mangrove rivulus), 218 nucleotides long. The record is from Ensembl. Lineage: Eukaryota; Metazoa; Chordata; Actinopteri; Cyprinodontiformes; Rivulidae.
AGGACUAUACUUUCAGGGAUCAUUUCUAUAGAUUCUAACUUGGGAAAUGUGUUUCUAAAGUGUUUGGUCUCGCCAACCACGAUGAUGAGUCGGUGACUCUCUUCCCUGAGCGCGAAGCGAGCAGAGAGACUUGGAUUAAUCCUCAUGCUCUCUGCCUUUGAUGACCGUUCAGUGUCUCCUCUGGGGACAAUGAGGGGAAGAGUGUGAUCAGAGUGGUU